GUUGAACGCUGGCGGCAUGCCUUACACAUGCAAGUCGAACGGUAACGGGCCUUCGGGUGCCGACGAGUGGCGAACGGGUGCGUAAUACAUCGGAACGUGCCCGCUCGUGGGGGAAAAGGGGGCAAAGCCUUUACUAUACGCCAUACGCUCAACGGAUAAAGACCGGGAACGGCAAGGCGUGGCCGGCACGGAGCGGUCGAUGGCAGAUUAGGUAGUUGGUGGGAUAAAGGCUUACCAAGCCGACGAUCUGUAGCUGGUCUGAGAGGAUGAUCAGCCACACUGGGACUGAGACACGGCCCAGACUCCUACGGGAGGCAGCAGUGGGGAAUUUUGGACAAUGGGCGCAAGCCUGAUCCAGCCAUGCCGCGUGCAGGAUGAAGGCCUUCGGGUUGUAAACUGCUUUUGUACGGAACGAAAAGCCUUCUUUUAAUACAGGAGGGUCAUGACGGUACCGUAAGAAUAAGCACCGGCUAACUACGUG
This 481-nucleotide ribosomal RNA is filed under the name uncultured bacterium. Its description in RNAcentral is "partial 16S ribosomal RNA". It matches the Rfam family "Bacterial small subunit ribosomal RNA", at positions 28 to 507 of the family's 1533-position model. The record is from RNAcentral.